GGACAGUUUGAGCUUGACCUGUAUCGAACAGCACUGGCCCAUUGAGAGCAUUGCAACAGGAUAACGGAAUCCAAAACAAAGUUAAUCUGAUCAACAGGGAUCAAUAGAAAAGUCCACAAGCUGAGGGACAUCUCAGCAGGACUCUGCACCCACGCGAGCUGGCUUCCUCUGGCAGAAACACCAGCCAGUUCUUCAGCCUCCAUCUACUUGGUGCCUUUACCUGAAAAACUGGUAGUGGACUGGGCUGCAGAGGACCCUUCUGUGAAAUUUUGGAACUGAGGAAUGCUUAAGACAACAUAGGACUUGUCCACCACCCUGAGUCACAGGUAGUUGGUUCAUCAGAUGGGUGACACACAGCAGCAGGGCAGGGACUUGCCAGCCAGGAUUCUGUUGCACCAUUUCCAGGAUCUAGAAGUGGCAAAGGGGCCACUUGAGAGUUCAGGACACUUGACAUUAUUUGGUGAUGAUUCAAGUCCAGGAAUGUAAAUCCAGUCUUGUUCCAGAAGCCAGGGUCUUAUUUGCCUGGGGACCACCAGACAGGACCUGGAGUUUGGUGGCAGGUCCGAGGUCAAGAAGGGAAGUCAGUCUGUGGAUCUGAGCCCAGUCCAGCAGACUGCACAGCUGGGCAUGGCUGUGACAGGCCUGAGACUGGCACACUCACAGCACAGCUCUGUGAAGCAAUGGCCCCAGGCUGAGCGGGAGCAGAGCCCGGUGUGUGUGGGCACCCACGCAGGGCUGUGAGCCCAAAACCUACACGUGCCCUUAAGGCCUUGAUCAGCCCAUGGCAUGGAGACUGACCAGUAUUCAGAGAGCAGCACUAGGAGGUGGAUCUUAGCUGGAAGGGGCAGUAUCAGACAGAAGGAAGGAUGCAAAGAAAGUCCCUCUGGCUCAUGCUGAGGCAGCCAACCAGGAUGGACAGAGGAAAGCACAAUGGGCUCGCAUUUGGAUGAAGCUGAUGGCAGUGCUUUUAUGGAUAGCAGGAGGAUGAUGUUUUCACUCUCUCUAUUUCUGCCUACUGCACAGGCUUGAGAAAAUGCACCCUGCAGUAGGCCACCUACUGUCAGUCACCUUUAAUUUGUUUAAGGUAAAAGAAGGUCUUAUAAAUCUUCUCCUGAUUUCUUCUAUCCCAUCUCCUGAUUCCUUUCCUAUUCAGCUAGAGUCUAUUUGGCAAUGAAAAUAUUAAUGUUAAAUAUUUAUGUUAAUAUGUCCAGUUCCAUAUAUCUUACAGAAGGAACUGAGGAUUGAUUGCUUGUUCUCUUUGUCUUGAUCUUUCACUUGAUUUUGUCUUUCCUGUUCUUGUAAUGUGAGUGAAAAUUCAAAUUUUGAACCUUGGGUUAAAGAGUUUGUCUUGACCUUAUGCCAAACCUGCUGACUUUUUUACUCUGUGUUAUUGUUCCUAGCUUCUAGGAAGGAAUAAAUGGGUAAAAUCAGCCUUAUUGUGGAUUAGCAACUCUAAUCAUGGUGACUGCAGUCAUUAUGAGGACCAUUUAAAAUGUAUUUAUUCUGCAAGUUGUCUUUGGGGUUUUCUGUCUACCUGCAAGAAAAAAUACUGUCCUCCAGCCUACUUACCUCUAGGAACUCAGGGACCCUCAACCAUCAAAGCUGUCACAGAAGAUUGGUUAAUGGCAUUAUGGGGAGAGGCAGGAUGCCAGAGUGUUGUUCUUAUCUUCAAAUAACAUCUCCCUGAAUAAGGUCCUCUUUGUUUUGGGAGCCAUGGGUGUGUUUUGUAUGCACUGUUCAUUUAUUUUUUCAGUUACGUGUUCAGAGAUAACACAGGUUGAACUAAUUGUCUAAAUAAGAUUUGGAAUUUAACAAAUUACAGUGUUCAAUAACAUAAUUUUCUUUGACAAAAACAACACAGGUAGUGCUCUCCUACUUUGACAGCUCUGGGAGCUAGAGUUGAUUCAGAAGUGCAAGAAUGAGAUUCUAAAAGCGUAAGGAAAUAAGAAAUGUUAUUUAUCACUGUUUCAGUGUCACCAACUUGUUAUUUUUAUUGUUCUUCAGAAUAAUGGGAUUUAUUGAAGCAGUUUAUCCUCACAUCACGUAAUACACGUUGUGCUUGAAGAACGAGGAGGAUUCAAAAUAGCAAAACAUAAAAAAAGCACUUUAAAUGUAACAGAAAUCCACAGCAACACUACACUUUAAAACCUACCCUGUUUCUAUCUGGAACAAGCAGAAAACAAGUACAUGUGGAAAAGAAUAGUUCAGUUAUUAAAACCACACAAAUGGAGAUAUUUGCAUAGUUACUGCCAUGCUCAAAUGAAAGAAGAUAAUUGUGUGUAUGAAAGGUUUUCAACAGCUGUCUUUGAAAUCAAAUAAAGAAUUAGAUAAACAUGCUGGCUGUUUUGCAUCUGGGAUACAUACACCAACACUCAAUAUUCACAAAUCACUAAGUGGUUGUUGGACACCUGAAAUUCUAUUGAUUGCUAAAGCUCAAUAAUGUCUCAGAGACUUGAUCAAAAGAUCAGGCAAGCAAGCAAGUAAUUAUAUAGUAUUGUGAGUCUUAGCGUAUACAAAAUACACUGCAAAGAGCAAACAUUCUGACUAGAUAAAUAACCUCAGUUUGGUAUGGCAGCAGCUAUAACAGGAAACCUUUCAAAUGUUGAUUACAUAAAAUUAAGGACGAUACAGUGAAAAAGAGUACUGUAAAUCAGACAGCAGGGAAUUUCAAGGAUCACAAAUCCUUGCCUAAUAUAAAUUACAGCAAUAAAUUCUAGCAUGGAUUGUUUCUUUUAUAACAGUGGUUACCAAGAAAAUAGGAAUUGUGAGCUAAAAUUCCAGGGCAUUUAAAUCAUGAUAGUCCCUAGAAGUUUAAUUGCUUUAUUUUGCUUCCAGCUUGCUAAAAAGUGAACACAAGUAAUAGAUAUAAAAAAUAGAUAUAAAACUGUUUGAUUGUAUAAAUUAAUAUUUGUUUCCUUAGAUUCUAUGUUAAGUCAACAAAUAACUUCCUUAUUGUAGUUAUUAUGGUGACUGGAAAUAAAUUGUUAGCCUUAUUCCUUCUCAUAGAUUUUUAGCACGACCCUAUCGACAUACAUUCAUGUUUUGAGAAUUCCACUGAAAACUGUGGAAAGAUACCAGUGCAAAACUGGCUCAAGAGUCAGUCUUAGGGCUUGGCAGAGGUUGUUGACCCCUGGAUCUUGUCAUUAUUACAAAACACUCAAAACACCA
Long non-coding RNA from Melospiza melodia melodia, 3168 nucleotides. RefSeq lists it as uncharacterized. The record is from RefSeq and is a predicted model, not a curated record. NCBI's taxonomy places the organism in Eukaryota, Metazoa, Chordata, Aves, Passeriformes, Passerellidae. The transcript is spliced from 3 exons.